This 2904-nucleotide ribosomal RNA is filed under the name Escherichia coli. Its description in RNAcentral is "23S ribosomal RNA". It matches the Rfam family "Bacterial large subunit ribosomal RNA". The record is from RNAcentral. Lineage: Bacteria; Pseudomonadati; Pseudomonadota; Gammaproteobacteria; Enterobacterales; Enterobacteriaceae.
GGUUAAGCGACUAAGCGUACACGGUGGAUGCCCUGGCAGUCAGAGGCGAUGAAGGACGUGCUAAUCUGCGAUAAGCGUCGGUAAGGUGAUAUGAACCGUUAUAACCGGCGAUUUCCGAAUGGGGAAACCCAGUGUGUUUCGACACACUAUCAUUAACUGAAUCCAUAGGUUAAUGAGGCGAACCGGGGGAACUGAAACAUCUAAGUACCCCGAGGAAAAGAAAUCAACCGAGAUUCCCCCAGUAGCGGCGAGCGAACGGGGAGGAGCCCAGAGCCUGAAUCAGUGUGUGUGUUAGUGGAAGCGUCUGGAAAGGCGCGCGAUACAGGGUGACAGCCCCGUACACAAAAAUGCACAUAUUGUGAGCUCGAUGAGUAGGGCGGGACACGUGGUAUCCUGUCUGAAUAUGGGGGGACCAUCCUCCAAGGCUAAAUACUCCUGACUGACCGAUAGUGAACCAGUACCGUGAGGGAAAGGCGAAAAGAACCCCGGCGAGGGGAGUGAAAAAGAACCUGAAACCGUGUACGUACAAGCAGUGGGAGCCUCUUUUAUGGGGUGACUGCGUACCUUUUGUAUAAUGGGUCAGCGACUUAUAUUCUGUAGCAAGGUUAACCGAAUAGGGGAGCCGAAGGGAAACCGAGUCUUAACUGGGCGUUAAGUUGCAGGGUAUAGACCCGAAACCCGGUGAUCUAGCCAUGGGCAGGUUGAAGGUUGGGUAACACUAACUGGAGGACCGAACCGACUAAUGUUGAAAAAUUAGCGGAUGACUUGUGGCUGGGGGUGAAAGGCCAAUCAAACCGGGAGAUAGCUGGUUCUCCCCGAAAGCUAUUUAGGUAGCGCCUCGUGAAUUCAUCUCCGGGGGUAGAGCACUGUUUCGGCAAGGGGGUCAUCCCGACUUACCAACCCGAUGCAAACUGCGAAUACCGGAGAAUGUUAUCACGGGAGACACACGGCGGGUGCUAACGUCCGUCGUGAAGAGGGAAACAACCCAGACCGCCAGCUAAGGUCCCAAAGUCAUGGUUAAGUGGGAAACGAUGUGGGAAGGCCCAGACAGCCAGGAUGUUGGCUUAGAAGCAGCCAUCAUUUAAAGAAAGCGUAAUAGCUCACUGGUCGAGUCGGCCUGCGCGGAAGAUGUAACGGGGCUAAACCAUGCACCGAAGCUGCGGCAGCGACGCUGAUGCGUUGUUGGGUAGGGGAGCGUUCUGUAAGCCUGUGAAGGUGUGCUGUGAGGCAUGCUGGAGGUAUCAGAAGUGCGAAUGCUGACAUAAGUAACGAUAAAGCGGGUGAAAAGCCCGCUCGCCGGAAGACCAAGGGUUCCUGUCCAACGUUAAUCGGGGCAGGGUGAGUCGACCCCUAAGGCGAGGCCGAAAGGCGUAGUCGAUGGGAAACAGGUUAAUAUUCCUGUACUUGGUGUUACUGCGAAGGGGGGACGGAGAAGGCUAUGUUGGCCGGGCGACGGUUGUCCCGGUUUAAGCGUGUAGGCUGGUUUUCCAGGCAAAUCCGGAAAAUCAAGGCUGAGGCGUGAUGACGAGGCACUACGGUGCUGAAGCAACAAAUGCCCUGCUUCCAGGAAAAGCCUCUAAGCAUCAGGUAACAUCAAAUCGUACCCCAAACCGACACAGGUGGUCAGGUAGAGAAUACCAAGGCGCUUGAGAGAACUCGGGUGAAGGAACUAGGCAAAAUGGUGCCGUAACUUCGGGAGAAGGCACGCUGAUAUGUAGGUGAAGUCCCUCGCGGAUGGAGCUGAAAUCAGUCGAAGAUACCAGCUGGCUGCAACUGUUUAUUAAAAACACAGCACUGUGCAAACACGAAAGUGGACGUAUACGGUGUGACGCCUGCCCGGUGCCGGAAGGUUAAUUGAUGGGGUCAGCGCAAGCGAAGCUCUUGAUCGAAGCCCCGGUAAACGGCGGCCGUAACUAUAACGGUCCUAAGGUAGCGAAAUUCCUUGUCGGGUAAGUUCCGACCUGCACGAAUGGCGUAAUGAUGGCCAGGCUGUCUCCACCCGAGACUCAGUGAAAUUGAACUCGCUGUGAAGAUGCAGUGUACCCGCGGCAAGACGGAAAGACCCCGUGAACCUUUACUAUAGCUUGACACUGAACAUUGAGCCUUGAUGUGUAGGAUAGGUGGGAGGCUUAGAAGUGUGGACGCCAGUCUGCAUGGAGCCGACCUUGAAAUACCACCCUUUAAUGUUUGAUGUUCUAACGUUGACCCGUAAUCCGGGUUGCGGACAGUGUCUGGUGGGUAGUUUGACUGGGGCGGUCUCCUCCUAAAGAGUAACGGAGGAGCACGAAGGUUGGCUAAUCCUGGUCGGACAUCAGGAGGUUAGUGCAAUGGCAUAAGCCAGCUUGACUGCGAGCGUGACGGCGCGAGCAGGUGCGAAAGCAGGUCAUAGUGAUCCGGUGGUUCUGAAUGGAAGGGCCAUCGCUCAACGGAUAAAAGGUACUCCGGGGAUAACAGGCUGAUACCGCCCAAGAGUUCAUAUCGACGGCGGUGUUUGGCACCUCGAUGUCGGCUCAUCACAUCCUGGGGCUGAAGUAGGUCCCAAGGGUAUGGCUGUUCGCCAUUUAAAGUGGUACGCGAGCUGGGUUUAGAACGUCGUGAGACAGUUCGGUCCCUAUCUGCCGUGGGCGCUGGAGAACUGAGGGGGGCUGCUCCUAGUACGAGAGGACCGGAGUGGACGCAUCACUGGUGUUCGGGUUGUCAUGCCAAUGGCACUGCCCGGUAGCUAAAUGCGGAAGAGAUAAGUGCUGAAAGCAUCUAAGCACGAAACUUGCCCCGAGAUGAGUUCUCCCUGACUCCUUGAGAGUCCUGAAGGAACGUUGAAGACGACGACGUUGAUAGGCCGGGUGUGUAAGCGCAGCGAUGCGUUGAGCUAACCGGUACUAAUGAACCGUGAGGCUUAACCUU